UACGUAGGGUGUGAGCGUUAAUCGGAAUUACUGGGCGUAAAGUGUGCGCAGGUGGCCGCGCAAGUCGAGCGUGAAAUCCCCGAGCUUAACUUGGGAAUUGCGCUCGAAACUACGUGGCUCGAGUGUGGCAGAGGAAGGUGGAAUUCCACGUGUAGCGGUGAAAUGCGUAGAGAUGUGGAGGAACACCGAUGGCGAAGGCAGCCUUCUGGGCCAACACUGACGCUCAUGCACGAAAGCGUGGGGAGCAAACAGG
Molecule: ribosomal RNA, 253 nt
Filed under: uncultured bacterium
Lineage: Bacteria
Description: partial 16S ribosomal RNA
Rfam family: Bacterial small subunit ribosomal RNA
Source: RNAcentral